This 252-nucleotide ribosomal RNA is filed under the name uncultured bacterium. RNAcentral describes it as "partial 16S ribosomal RNA". It matches the Rfam family "Bacterial small subunit ribosomal RNA", at positions 524 to 776 of the family's 1533-position model. The record is from RNAcentral.
UACGUAGGGGGCAAGCGUUGUCCGGAAUUAUUGGGCGUAAAGCGCGCGCAGGCGGCUAUGUAAGUCUCAUGUUUAAACCCAAGGCUCAACCUUGGGACGCAUGGGAAACUGCGUAGCUUGAGUGUAGGAGAGGAAAGUGGAAUUCCACGUGUAGCGGUGAAAUGCGUAGAGAUGUGGAGGAACACCAGUGGCGAAGGCGACUUUCUGGCCUAUAACUGACGCUGAGGCGCGAAAGCGUGGGGAGCAAACAGG